AUUGAACGCUGGCGGCAGGCCUAACACAUGCAAGUCGAGCGGAUGAAGGGAGCUUGCUCCUGGCUUCAGUGGCCGACGGGUGGGUAAUGCAUAGGAAUCUGACUGGUCGAUGGGGCUAACGUCCGGACACGGGCGCUAAUACCGCAUACGUCCAGAGGGAGAACGUCGGGGUUCUUUGGACCUCACGCUUUUAGAUGACCCUAGGUCGGAUUAGCUAGUUGGUUGGGUAAAGGCCUACCAAGGCGACGAUCCGUAACUGGUCUGAGAGGAUGAUCAGUCACACUGGAACUGAGACACGGUCCAGACUCCUACGGGAGGCAGCAGUGGGGAAUAUUGGACAAUGGGCGAAAGCCUGAUCCAGCCAUGCCGCGUGUGUGAAGAAGGUCUUCGGAUUGUAAAGCACUUUAAGUUGGGAGGAAGGGCAGUAAGUUAAUACCUUGCUGUUUUGACGUUACCAACAGAAUAAGCACCGGCUAACUUCGUG
Molecule: ribosomal RNA, 484 nt
Filed under: uncultured bacterium
Lineage: Bacteria
Description: partial 16S ribosomal RNA
Rfam family: Bacterial small subunit ribosomal RNA
Source: RNAcentral